UACGAACCGUGCGACCGUUGUUCGGAAUCACUGGGCGUAAAGCGCACGUAGGCGGGCGUGUCAGUCAGGGGUGAAAUCCCGGAGCUCAACUCCGGAACUGCCUCUGAUACAGCACGUCUUGAGUUCGAGAGAGGUGGGUGGAAUUCCUAGUGUAGAGGUGAAAUUCGUAGAUAUUAGGAAGAACACCGGUGGCGAAGGCGGCCCACUGGCUCGAUACUGACGCUGAGGUGCGAAAGCGUGGGGAGCAAACAGG
Molecule: ribosomal RNA, 253 nt
Filed under: uncultured bacterium
Lineage: Bacteria
Description: partial 16S ribosomal RNA
Rfam family: Bacterial small subunit ribosomal RNA
Source: RNAcentral